UGCCAGCAGCCGCGGUAAUACGGAGGGUGCAAGCGUUAAUCGGAAUUACUAGGCCUAAAGCGUGUGCAGCCUGACAAGGUAGUCUCUGGUGAAAUCUGGCAGCUCAACUGUCAGAAUUGCUGGGGAAACCACUUGUCUUGGUACUGGAAGAGGUAAGCGCUACUAGCAGGGGAGCGGUGAAAUGCAUAGAGCCUGCUGGGAGCACCUGUGGCGAAAGCGGCUUACUAGUACAGAUACGACGGUCAGACACGAAAGCGUGGGGAGCAAAGCGGAUUAGAUA
RNAcentral lists this ribosomal RNA (280 nucleotides) under uncultured bacterium. RNAcentral's name for it is "partial 16S ribosomal RNA". It matches the Rfam family "Bacterial small subunit ribosomal RNA", at positions 506 to 784 of the family's 1533-position model. The record is from RNAcentral.